UAUAUUUGCCGCUUGAUAGAAAAACUAUCUGUACAUAAUAAUCAUUGAAAUAAUAUUGGAAUG
This 63-nucleotide non-coding RNA is filed under the name unclassified sequences. The record is from Rfam.